Molecule: long non-coding RNA, 619 nt
Organism: Pelodiscus sinensis (Chinese soft-shelled turtle)
Lineage: Eukaryota; Metazoa; Chordata; Testudines; Trionychidae
Source: RefSeq, a predicted model, not a curated record
CGGCAAUGAAAGCCAUGCAGCUCUUGCGGCUCCGUUCUGUGAGGUAUGACACACUGCAAUGAGGCCCAGGCUUUUCCAAGGCAUAUGGGUGCGGCACAGUGGAACGAAUGAAUGCUGCAGGGGGACAUAUUCACGGCGACUGGGCCCCAGCUGCUGUCAAAUCCCUUUUGGGAGCGCUUGGAGAGCUGCGUUCCCAAAGGAGUCUGCGUGUGCCAGCAGCAAUUUCCGUGAAAAGUGAAAGUGUUUCUAUUGACAUGGAUACAGCGAUGUAUCAGGGCAAGAGACAGGCCUGCUGAUGAGGUAACCUCCUCAAAGAAUGACACCAGAUUUGUCUCAUGAGACCGUACAGCUAUGCUGACUGGCAUUAAUUUCAUUCCUAUUGUAAGUCUUGAGCACUUGAAUUCUGUACCUGGUUUUCCAUUAUUUUGCCUGGGAUUGAUGUCUGGCUAACCAACCUAGGAGAUAUGCCUCAUCAAACUGGCCCUCGUGCAUGGCCUUCUUAUAGAUGAUAUCAUUGCCCCAUUUGAGCCAAGCAGCUAGUCAAAGUUUGGAUCCCUGGGUAUGUUCCAUCUGGGAGCAGCAACGGUUGAUAGGCGGAUAUUUCUCUGCAAAUAAACAA